AUGAACGCUGGCGGCGUGCCUAAUACAUGCAAGUCGAGCGAACGGACGAUAAGCUUGCUUCUCUGAUGUUAGCGGCGGACGGGUGAGUAACACGUGGAUAACCUACCUAUAAGACUGGGAUAACUUCGGGAAACCGGAGCUAAUACCGGAUAAUAUUUUGAACCGCAUGGUUCAAAAGUGAAAGACGGUCUUGCUGUCACUUAUAGAUGGAUCCGCGCUGCAUUAGCUAGUUGGUAAGGUAACGGCUUACCAAGGCAACGAUGCAUAGCCGACCUGAGAGGGUGAUCGGCCACACUGGAACUGAGACACGGUCCAGACUCCUACGGGAGGCAGCAGUAGGGAAUCUUCCGCAAUGGGCGAAAGCCUGACGGAGCAACGCCGCGUGAGUGAUGAAGGUCUUCGGAUCGUAAAACUCUGUUAUUAGGGAAGAACAUAUGUGUAAGUAACUGUGCACAUCUUGACGGUACCUAAUCAGAAAGCCACGGCUAACUACGUG
Molecule: ribosomal RNA, 496 nt
Filed under: uncultured bacterium
Lineage: Bacteria
Description: partial 16S ribosomal RNA
Rfam family: Bacterial small subunit ribosomal RNA
Source: RNAcentral